Molecule: long non-coding RNA, 392 nt
Organism: Gordionus sp. m RMFG-2023
Lineage: Eukaryota; Metazoa; Nematomorpha; Gordioida; Chordodea; Parachordodidae
Exons: 3
Source: RefSeq, a predicted model, not a curated record
AAGAAUUGCUGUCAUAAGGGUAAAGCUCUAUCAAACAUUAUUUUAGUGCUGAUUCCAUUGAAAGCGAUAAUCAGGAUGAUAUAAUGAAUUUUUCUAUAGAGGUUGGUGCAAUUGUUAUGCUUUUACGUAAUUUGACCCCAAACAAAGGACUUAGUAAUGGUAUUGACAAGCACAGAUCUAACUCUAAGUGUCUCUCAGUUGCCAUUUACUUUAAAAAGACGCCAGUUUCCUAUAAUUCCAGCUUUUGUUAUUAUAAUAAAUAAAAGUCAAGGACAAACUUUUGAACAUGUAGGCUUAUUUCUCCCUGAGCCCGUCUUUGCCCAUGGGCAAUUAUAUGUAGCUCUUACUAGAUGUAAAUCUCAAAAUAAUAUGAAAAUCAUGAUUGCCAUCAG